Molecule: microRNA, 20 nt
Filed under: Macaca mulatta (Rhesus monkey)
Lineage: Eukaryota; Metazoa; Chordata; Mammalia; Primates; Cercopithecidae
Also listed under: 2 other names
Description: mml-miR-301a-5p
Gene: mml-miR-301a-5p
Source: miRBase by way of RNAcentral
UCUGACUUUAUUGCACUACU